Molecule: ribosomal RNA, 1345 nt
Filed under: uncultured bacterium
Lineage: Bacteria
Description: partial 16S ribosomal RNA
Rfam family: Bacterial small subunit ribosomal RNA
Source: RNAcentral
GACGAACUUUGGCGGCGUGCUUAACACAUGCAAGUCGAACGGAAAGGCCCUGCUUUUGUGGGGUGCUCGAGUGGCGAACGGGUGAGUAACACGUGAGUAACCUGCCCUUGACUUUGGGAUAACUUCAGGAAACUGGGGCUAAUACCGGAUAGGAGCUCCUGCUGCAUGGUGGGGGUUGGAAAGUUUCGGCGGUUGGGGAUGGACUCGCGGCUUAUCAGCUUGUUGGUGGGGUAGUGGCUUACCAAGGCUUUGACGGGUAGCCGGCCUGAGAGGGUGACCGGCCACAUUGGGACUGAGAUACGGCCCAGACUCCUACGGGAGGCAGCAGUGGGGAAUAUUGCACAAUGGGCGGAAGCCUGAUGCAGCAACGCCGCGUGCGGGAUGACGGCCUUCGGGUUGUAAACCGCUUUCGCCUGUGACGAAGCGUGAGUGACGGUAAUGGGUAGAGAAGCACCGGCUAACUACGUGCCAGCAGCCGCGGUGAUACGUAGGGUGCGAGCGUUGUCCGGAUUUAUUGGGCGUAAAGGGCUCGUAGGUGGUUGAUCGCGUCGGAAGUGUAAUCUUGGGGCUUAACCCUGAGCGUGCUUUCGAUACGGGUUGACUUGAGGAAGGUAGGGGAGAAUGGAAUUCCUGGUGGAGCGGUGGAAUGCGCAGAUAUCAGGAGGAACACCAGUGGCGAAGGCGGUUCUCUGGGCCUUUCCUGACGCUGAGGAGCGAAAGCGUGGGGAGCGAACAGGCUUAGAUACCCUGGUAGUCCACGCUGUAAACGGUGGGUACUAGGUGUGGGGUCCAUUCCACGGGUUCCGUGCCGUAGCUAACGCCUUAAGUACCCCGCCUGGGGAGUACGGCCGCAAGGCUAAAACUCAAAGGAAUUGACGGGGCCCCGCACAAGCGGCGGAGCAUGCGGAUUAAUUCGAUGCAACGCGUAGAACCUUACCUGGGUUUGACAUGGAUCGGGAGUGCUCAGAGAUGGGUGUGCCUCUUUUGGGGUCGGUUCACAGGUGGUGCAUGCCUGUCGUCAGCUCGUGUCGUGAGAUGUUGGGUUAAGUCCCGCAACGAGCGCAACCCUUGUUCACUGUUGCCAGCACGUUAUGGUGGGGACUCAGUGGAGACCGCCGGGGUCAACUCGGAGGAAGGUGGGGAUGACGUCAAGUCAUCAUGCCCCUUAUGUCCAGGGCUUCACGCAUGCUACAAUGGCUGGUACAGAGAGUGGCGAGCCUGUGAGGGUGAGCGAAUCUCGGAAAGCCGGUCUCAGUUCGGAUUGGGGUCUGCAACUCGACCUCAUGAAGUCGGAGUCGCUAGUAAUCGCAGAUCAGCAACGCUGCGGUGAAUACGUUCCCGGGGC